ACAACGGAGGAGGUGGGACGACGUCAAGUCAUCAUGGCCCUUAUGUCCUGGGCUACACACGUGCUACAAUGGCCGGUACAGAGCGCAGCGAGGCCGCGAGGCGGAGCGAAUCGCUUAAAGCCGGUCCCAGUACGGAUUGGAGUCUGCAACCCGACUCCAUGAAGUUGGAAUCGCUAGUAAUCGCGCAUCAGCAUGGCGCGGUGAAUACGUUCCCGGGCCUU
Molecule: ribosomal RNA, 221 nt
Filed under: uncultured Spirochaeta sp.
Lineage: Bacteria; Pseudomonadati; Spirochaetota; Spirochaetia; Spirochaetales; Spirochaetaceae
Description: partial 16S ribosomal RNA
Rfam family: Bacterial small subunit ribosomal RNA
Source: RNAcentral